GACAUGUUUGCUUCCCUUUCCACCAUAUUGAGAGAAGACUGUUCUCUGGUCAAGUUUGUGCUUCUGGGAACAUCUCAUCAAACGUCCUGCCAGCGGGCUUAGUACUGGAAUUUGAAUAUGGGCUUCUCUUUUCAUCAACCAGCUGUGUUGCUGUCAGCUUUUAUCUCGGGCUGGACACUUUGGAGUGUUUAACUGAAAGUGAUGAAAGUAUAGCUCAAUACGAGUCAGAGUCAAGAACUUCCUGGAAGCAUAAUUUAGGAUCUAAAUAGAAGAACAUAAUGGAGAGAAGGGCAGUGUUUGUCCUAUUCCAAAAAGAGAGACAGGAAAAUAAAAUCAAGCCCUGUCGUUUCAAUCAUGGCACCAGGGGAGCCAGAAGAGCAGAAGAGGUGACAGCUGACCAGAAAGAGACUGGCUCUGCAGCCUGGGCAACCUGUCAUGGAAAGGUACUGCAGCUGCAGGCCUCAGAGCUGUCCAGAAUUACUCUCAUGAACAUGUUUGGGAAAGAAGUUAUGAAGUAGAGGCAAGAGUGUGUUACAGGUAGGAGUCUUUUUAGGGGAGCAAUAGGAUUGUCCUCUUCUUAGAAAUAGAUUUUUUUGGCCAUGAUCCCUUCUUUCUCCUACCAGAACUGCUUAAUCCCAUUGCCUGAGCCUUCCAGCCUGGAGAUUAUCCAUCAUGUGACUAAGAAUGAGAUGACACCUGUACAGAUACACGAUUUGCCUCUCAGCUGUUUAGCUGUUUCUAUAAGAAGCCUGAGCCGUUAAGGUACUCUCAGGGCAGGAAUGACCUAGAAGAGAUGGAAUAUAAGCUCAAGACAAUAAGAUGGGGGCCUGGUCAAACACCCUUCCUUAUGUGAACUAGGAAUCUUGGUUAUAGCCCAUGUUUUUCCUUCUUCUCCAAACCCAGGUGAUGAUUUUGGUUUAAGAGCCUCAUCUAUGAGAAAUUCCAUAUCAAAAUUAUUGCAGGGAGAAUAGACCUCUUCCAUUAUCUAGAACAAAAGUUAGUAUUUUCCCCUAUGUCUUCUCUUUUCUUUCUUCUGUACUUCCUAUUACUUUUGGUGCUGUAGAAAAAUUUCUCUGUCCAAAAAGACGUGAAAUAUUUCAGACAUAUUUUACCAAGGGUGUGUGUAGCACACAUCAACUUGCUUGAGCUUCUCUGAUAUAUAGCCAAUGUUUUAAUGUUCCCAUUUAGCCAAUCCAUAAUACAUCUUCACAGUGUUGGCCUAAUCACAAAUGACAAGGGUGGAAAAUGUAAUAAAGACAGGGGCACAUUAAUCUACUUUGUAUGAAAAUGUGGAAAGGUAAUCCAAUUUUGAACUGCUUGCUCUUACAAAAUAUACAUAAGUUUGUAUGAUUUCUGCAUCUUAGUUGGGGAGAUGGUAGUCAAUCCUAAAGAGUUAUAUUUCAGGUAAAGAGUCCUCAGUCCCUUACAUGUAUGCACAGAGGUAGUGGCCCAUACUGAGAAAUAAAGAUGGGGACUCUGGGGAAUGAGUUGCCUGAUGGUCUAUUGGAAGCCUCUAUAUCUGGCAAUAUUCAGGGGUGUUCAUUCCUGUAGGUCUUAGAGAGAGAUUCCAAUAUUAGGGAUGCUGUUGUGUCUUCCCCUGCAUAGCCCCUAAGGCUAGUUCAUAUGAAAAGUAAAUCUGACUCUGCUCCCUAAAAACAAAGAUGAAAAAUCCAUAGAAGGGAGGUAGAUUCAGCUAGAAAGUGUAUUUCUAGCAGGGGAGUUGGUGUGAGGGAGAGAAUAGUUAUGAUGAAGUCAGGCUUGUCUUAAACCACAUCUGAUGUCAUUCCAAUCACUGUGUGUGUCUGCACUUGUGGGUUGUCUGCAUGGCAUGCAUGAAUGUUGAUGCAUCUGCAGUGCUCUCACCCAGCAGAGAAGCAUAGAGAAAUGUGAGCUCUGGACUUAAAGAGCGCUGAGUGUUAAUCUCACUUUCUAUUUGCUCUGCGACAUGACUAGCAGUCCAACUCCUCUGAAUCCCAGUUUCUUUUUCAGUGAAACAGAGAUUGUACUAGUUAUCUCUUAGGAUUAGUAGAAAUACAGGACCCAGAAAUUCUAUUCUUAGAUAUCUACCCAAGAUAAAUACAAACAAAACAUAGGCAAAUGUGUACAAAAACUUGUACAUGGAUGUUCAUAGCAACAUUAUUCACUAUAGAUAAAAGGUGGAAACAACCCAAAUGUCUAUCAACUGACAAAUGCAUAAACAAAAUGUGGCUUAUUAUUGAAAUAAACAAUGGAAAAUUAUUCAGCCAU
This 2247-nucleotide long non-coding RNA is filed under the name Homo sapiens (human). RNAcentral describes it as "HSALNT0028618". The record is from RNAcentral. Lineage: Eukaryota; Metazoa; Chordata; Mammalia; Primates; Hominidae.